UAGAAUGUAGCAUAAUUUAAUGUACUUCACUUACACUGAAGUGAUGCUUUGACAUACAAGCCGUUCUAA
Molecule: transfer RNA, 69 nt
Filed under: Pleurocera canaliculata fila
Lineage: Eukaryota; Metazoa; Mollusca; Gastropoda; Pleuroceridae
Description: tRNA-Val
Rfam family: tRNA
About the family: Transfer RNA (tRNA) molecules are approximately 80 nucleotides in length.
Source: RNAcentral